Molecule: long non-coding RNA, 387 nt
Organism: Cyprinodon tularosa
Lineage: Eukaryota; Metazoa; Chordata; Actinopteri; Cyprinodontiformes; Cyprinodontidae
Exons: 2
Source: RefSeq, a predicted model, not a curated record
GGGGUAGGGGCAGUGGUGUCAGAACUGGGUCAUUGUCUCCUGACUGCAGUCUACCUGACACAUUGAUUUGUUAAUCCUGUUCAACGGGCAGAAACAAUGGCAAGAGGUUAAUCCCGGCAAAGGGCCGGUUUGUAGUCAAUCUGGAGAUUCUCAGCCACUGCACAGAGCAAAGCAAGAGAAAAGGGAAUUCCACUCUGGCAGGGCUACUCCAGCUGUAACAGUGGGAGAAGAACACAGGCUCUAUCUAACCCAGAUGUGCCUUCUGCUGCUAAGCGAUGGAAAGUCCUGCUCACUGAGGAACAUGAGCUUUUUGUUUUUCAAAAGCCACACCUGUCAGGUUGUUAGCUUGCAUUGGACCUCACACAUACUCUCUAAUUUGGGGUGAUU